ACUACAUUAGUAUUAAUAAGGUACAUAUAAUUUCCAAUUAUAAAGUCAAAUUUGAUGUAGUA
RNAcentral lists this transfer RNA (62 nucleotides) under Ixodes uriae (common seabird tick). Lineage: Eukaryota; Metazoa; Arthropoda; Arachnida; Ixodida; Ixodidae. The record is from RNAcentral.